This 73-nucleotide transfer RNA is filed under the name Diplometopon zarudnyi. Its description in RNAcentral is "tRNA-Asn". The record is from RNAcentral. Lineage: Eukaryota; Metazoa; Chordata; Lepidosauria; Squamata; Trogonophidae.
CGGACGGAAGCCUGUUGGUUUAGGCGUUUAGCUGUUAACUAAAAUAGUGUAGGAUCGAGGCCUGCUCGUCCUG